GACGAACCGUGCGAACGUUGUUCGGAAUCACUGGGCUUAAAGGGCGCGUAGGCGGGUUCGCAAGUCUGUGGUGAAAGCCUCCAGCUUAACUGGAGAAGUGCCAUGGAUACUGCGCAUCUUGAGGAGGGUAGGGGCGUCUGGAACGGUCGGUGGAGCGGUGAAAUGCGUUGAUAUCGACCGGAACUCCGAUGGCGAAGGCGAGGCGCUGGACCCUUUCUGACGCUGAGGCGCGAAAGCCAGGGGAGCAAACGGG
RNAcentral lists this ribosomal RNA (253 nucleotides) under uncultured bacterium. RNAcentral describes it as "partial 16S ribosomal RNA". It matches the Rfam family "Bacterial small subunit ribosomal RNA", at positions 524 to 776 of the family's 1533-position model. The record is from RNAcentral.